RNAcentral lists this ribosomal RNA (467 nucleotides) under Gemella morbillorum. RNAcentral describes it as "bacterial SSU rRNA". It matches the Rfam family "Bacterial small subunit ribosomal RNA", at positions 28 to 474 of the family's 1533-position model. The record is from RNAcentral. Lineage: Bacteria; Bacillati; Bacillota; Bacilli; Caryophanales; Gemellaceae.
GACGAACGCUGGCGGCGUGCCUAAUACAUGCAAGUCGAGCGAAGUUUUUCUGGUGCUCGCACUAGAAAAACUUAGCGGCGAACGGGUGAGUAACACGUAAAGAACCUGCCUCAUAGACUGGGACAACUAUUGGAAACGAUAGCUAAUACCGGAUAACAGUAUUUCUCGCACGAGAGAUAUUUAAAAGUUGGUUAUGCUAACACUAUGAGAUGGCUUUGCGGUGCAUUAGCUAGUUGGUGGGGUAAAGGCCCACCAAGGCGACGAUGCAUAGCCGACCUGAGAGGGUGAUCGGCCACACUGGGACUGAGACACGGCCCAGACUCCUACGGGAGGCAGCAGUAGGGAAUCUUCCGCAAUGGGCGAAAGCCUGACGGAGCAACGCCGCGUGAGUGAAGAAGGAUUUCGGUUCGUAAAGCUCUGUUGUUAGGGAAGAAUGGAUAUGUAGUAACUAUACAUAUAAGAGGACG